AAUCUUCCGCAAUGGACGAAAGUCUGACGGAGCAACGCCGCGUGAGUGAUGAAGGUCUUCGGUUCUUAAACCUCUGCUGUUAGGGAAGAACAAGUCUCGUUCGAACACGGCUCUACCUUGACGGUACCUACCCAUAAACCCACCUCUCACUACGUUCCACCAGCCGCGGUAAUACGUAGGUGGCAUGCGUUAUACGGAAUUAUUGGGCGUAAAGCGCGCGCAGGCGGUUUCUUAAGUCUGAUGUGAAAGCCCACGGCUCAACCGUGGAGGGUCAUUGGAAACUGGGAAGCUUGAGUGCAGAAGAGGAGAGUGGGAUUCCAUGUGUAGCGGUGAAAUGCGUAGAGAUAUGGAGGAACACCAGUGGCGAAGGCGACUCUCUGGUCUGCAACUGACGCUGAGGCGCGAAAGCGUGGGGAGCGAACA
Molecule: ribosomal RNA, 423 nt
Filed under: uncultured bacterium
Lineage: Bacteria
Description: partial 16S ribosomal RNA
Rfam family: Bacterial small subunit ribosomal RNA
Source: RNAcentral